RNAcentral lists this long non-coding RNA (9881 nucleotides) under Homo sapiens (human). Its description in RNAcentral is "HSALNT0006514". Lineage: Eukaryota; Metazoa; Chordata; Mammalia; Primates; Hominidae. The record is from RNAcentral.
UGGCUGCCUCCCUUCCUUGUCAAAGCCCUGUACAUGUUGCCCAUUUGCUUGGGUCCUAGCAGGCCCUGAGGCCAAGGGAGCCUGGGAAGGAGCUACCCUGGGAAGGAGCUCUCCUUGGGGAGUGACUGACAGGUUGUCAGGCAGCAGACUCUUGGAUGGGAACUUGGCUCUCAGGGCAGAUCAGACAGCAGCUGAGAUCCCAGGAUGAAUGGGCCCUUGUGAUGGUAAUGGGUGCUCUGAGGCUGCCUCAUCUGCCUCUGCUCUGUCUCUUCUGCACACCCCCAACCUCCAUCUUGCCUUCUUGUCCUCUCCCUGUUUACUGGCCAGUGAUGUGGUGGGUGGAAGAGCCAGUAAAUCCAUCAGGCGGGGGAGGCAGGAAGACUUGGACCAUCAGUUCAUGAAUCAGCCCAGCUCUGGGGCUCCUGUCAGUCGAACACAGCACAGCAGCAUCUGGAGUUGGUGCUCCAGGGGCACUGUGGUAGGGAAGGAGAAGGCACCUCCAGGACCAGACAGACCUGGCUCAAAUCCUGGCACCUCCACUCACCAGCUCCGUGAUCUUGGGGCCUUCUUGGAUCAUUCAACCAGCAGAUGAAGAAAAAGAGGGCGAAUGGAGAAUUAUAUGUCAGAGAAUUUUAUGGAUCUUACUGGAGGGUAAAUUCAAUCCUGGUAACUUAAUUGUGGGCAAAAGUGCAAAUCUCCUGGCAUCCAAUUCUUACCAUAGAUUUCUGAUGUCUGGAAGCAUGGUGGAGCAACACACUUCUGAAGGGACAGCAGGUGCUGUAGUGAAGUUUUCCACAAAAGAAGAAAAUGUUGUGCUCUUUGUCUACCUCACCAACUUCCCUUCAGCCCUUGGGGAGUGUAGAAGACCUCCAUGUUCAUCAGGGCUCCAUUUUAAGGAGAGAACAGAAGUUGGAGGAUAAGGUGGGAGUUCUGAUUGAUGUGGACCAGAUAAGGUGACAUCUGGCCAAAGAGGAAGCUGGGAGCCACAGACUGCUAAUAGGAUGAAGGGAGACACAGCUACCCCUCUGUGGGGUCAUCAGAGAUGGAGGGGGCUGGCAUAAAGAUGAACAUCUGCGUCCAAAACCAUAUAACUCCAUACACCACAUCAUCUAAUAGGAGACCAACAUAUUGUCAGAGGCCGCCAGCAACAGAGGGAAGCAGGUAAAGCCAGUGUAAGAUCAGGAGCCUUUUUCCACCAAUGACAAACAGCCACUUAUUUAGAGCGAUCUCUGUUAUUCCUCUUAUUUUCCCUUCUUCCCUCAACAUGAAAGGCACUAGACCCAGAAAAGAAAGGAGAAAAUUAGAAGACAAGACCACAACCUUUUACCACCCUUGGUGUUUUUUUUUUCUUUUUUCUUUUUUUUGACAGUCUCACUCUGUUGCCCAGGUGCUGGAGUGCAGUGGCGUGAUCUCGGCUCACUGCAAACUCCGCCUCCCAGGUUCAAGUGAUUCUUGUGCCUCAGUCUCCCAAGUAGUUGGGACUACAGACAUGCACCACCAUGCCCAGCUAAUUUUGUAUUUUUUUUGUAGUGACAGGGUUUCUCCAUGUCCCCUUCCCACUCUCGUAACUUGAGGUACAAGUCUGGCAAACAUUGAAGCGAGACGAGGAAGUGCUAUUGAAACUGGAUAUGAGAUGGGAGUUGUGAACUAGACCAGACGGGACUUUUGGUAACUGAUAUCGAUGGGAAAGCAAUGGGAUCUACCUGAAAAUAUCAUUAGAAAAUGAUACUGACAGAUAGGACAAAUCAUGGUUAACAGUUGUGGCUAGAGUAAACAAGUUGAACUGUUUAUACCUAUACCGCAAUGGAUUGAGGCUUCUCAAUAAACUGGUUACAUCUGAUCUGCUAACAACAGCUGCUAAACAUUGAAAGGGGUACUGUGCUGACUGCUGUAUACACACUAUGUCAUUUGCUCUUCACAACCUAUAGGAUGGGCACUAGUUUUUCCCCCUUUUGGCAGAUGACAGAAACCGAGGCACAACCAACUUGUCUAAAUAUAGAUUACAGAAAUUUCACAUGUAUCUCUCCAGUUCACAGGAAGUGUCAUUCUCCUUAAUCACUUUGCUCUUAUCCUUGAUGUUUUUCCAAACAUUUUUGCUGAUGUUGAGUGUUUUCCAUUUCUCUGAGCUGUGUUGUCAGUCCAUCUCCUGAUGAAGCAAGGGCAGUUUGAAUGCUGAAUGGAGGUGGAUGAGGAAGGGGAACACUACGUGAAAAUAUUUGUUUUACACAGAUGAAAUGUUGGAUCAGAACGCACGGAACUACAUCCAGCCCUACAGGUAAUUAUGAUUCAGCUUGGUGCAGGGACCUGCGUUUGGAAGCCGCUGCUUCAGAGUGUUCCAGAGAACGGCAGCCUCACGCAAGCAUGAAGCGUUUAACUGUGCAACACAAAUCAACAACCUGGGCUCCUAGAAUUCAGGGUGAGGUUUCACAGAGUGUCAGAGUUGAAAAGGAUCUUGGGGCUCACUGAUGAAGCAUUAGCGACGAGGAGCCUGAGGCCAGAGGGAACGUGCCACGGACAGCCUGAGCUACAGUGCAGGUCUCCUCCCUCCUCCGCAGCACUGCUGACCACGGCUUUCCGUGGUUAUAAUACUGUCACUUCCCCGCUAGCCCAAGGAUCUGAAAAUACUUUUGGGAGGCCGCGAGGAACACAAGGGGAGCAGAUAAUGACAUGGUCCACAACACACUUAAGGAGUUGGCAGAGUUUGGGAUCAGGGGAUUCUGCGCGUGUGUGGAUAAUCAGCAUUCAGGAGAAGGUGUAGUGCACGAACAGAAAUAUCAGCAGUUUGUGGCAUUAAGCCCACAAAUUUCAGGAAGUUGGAUUCCAAACUCUAGGACAUGAGGUCCAAGUCUGCUGGAGUUUGCUGUCGGUCCACUCCAGACCCUGUUUGCCUGGAUAUCACCAGCAGAAGCUACAGAACAGCCAAGAUUGCUGCCCUUUCCUUCCUCUGGAAGCUUUGUCUCACAUGGGCACCCACCAGAUGCCAGCCAGAGCUCUCCCAUAUGAGGUGUCUGUCAACCCCUUCUGGGAGGUGUCUCCCCAUCAGGAGGCACAGGGGUCAGGUACCCACUUGAGGAGGCAAUCUGUCCCUUAGCAGAGCUCAAGUGCUGUGCUUGGAGAUCCACUUCUCUCCUCAGAGCCAGCAGUCAGGAAUGUUUAAGUCUGCUGAAGCUGUGCCCACAGCCAACCUUCCCCCAGGUGCUCUGUUCCAGGGAGAUGAGAGUUUUAUCUAUAAGCCCCUGACAGGGGCUGCUGCCUUUCUUUCAGAGAUGUCCUGCCCAGAGAAGAAGAAUCUAGAGAAGCAGUCUGGCUACAGCGGCUUUGUGGAGCUGCAGUGGGCUCUGCCCAGUUUGAAAUUUCAGGCCGCUUUCUUUAUACUGUGAGGGGAAAACCGUCUACUCAAGCCUCAGUAAUGGUGGAUGCCCUUCUCUGCACCAAGCUCGAGCAUCCCAGGAUGACUUCCGACUGCUGUGCUGGCAGCGAGAAUUUCAAGCCAGUGGAUCUUAGCUUGCUGGGCUCCAUGGAGAUGGGAUCCACUGAGCUAGACCACUUGGCUCCCUGGCAUCAGCCCCAUUUCCAGGCAAGUGAAUGGUUCUCUCUCCCUGGCAUUCCAGGUGCCACUGGGUUAUGAACAAAAACUCCUGCAGCUAGCUUGGUGUCUGCCCAAACAGCCGCCCAGUUUUGUGCUUGAAACCCAGGGCCCUGGUGGCGUAGGCACCUGAGGGAAUCUCCUGGUCUAUGGGUUGUGAAGACCAUGGUAAAAAGGUAGUAUCUCGGCUGGAAAGCACCGCUUCUCAUGGCACAGUCCCUCAUGGCUUCCCUUGGCUAGGGGAGGGAGUUCCCCAACCCCUUGCACUUCCCGGGUGAGGUGAUGCCCCACCCUGCUUCAGCUUGCCCUCUGUGCACCCUCUGUCUAACCAGUCUCAAUGACAUGAGCUGGGUACCUCAGUUAGAAAUGCAGAAAUCACCUACCUUCUGCAAUGAUUUUGAUGGGAGGUGCAGACGAGCUGUUCCUAUUCAGUCAUCUUGCCAGCCACACAUGCCCAUCUUCAUUCCAUUAUUUCAUUUACUCUAAACAUACUUUCAGGCAGUUCUUAAAAUUUACUCCAUUUUAACUAUAAUGAAUCCAUGUAUGAAUGCAUUUGUCUUUUUCUGGCUCUUUCAUAGUGCUUCUUGAAUUGGAUGAUUCUUGUCUUUUUUAAAUUCUGGAAAAUUCUCACACAUUCUAUGUUUAGUUUGACCUCCUUAUUCUUCACAGUCUGUUAUUAUGGAAGUACUAUGCUUAACACGUUGCGUCUCUCUGUUUUCUUCGAUGUUACCAACAAGAUGUCUUAAACUAUCACCACCUGCCCCUACAAAUGUACACAGGUUAGGAUGUUUCAUUUAUCGUUUUCUGCUUGUGAUACAACUUGGCUGUAACAGAAGUUCUUUCAGUGUUGAGGCUCAGAAACUCUCAAAGUUGAUAUUUAGUCCCUGACUAUAAUAAGAUGUGGGAAGAGGGGACAUUUCAAACUCUCCAUGUUGGUCCCUUGCCCCACUCAUUGAGGAAAGUGAAGUCUAUUUUGCAAAAUUAAGGCUGAGUCAGUGAAAGAGAUCUAACAUAACUGCCUCCGUCUUGCUUCUAAAACCCAAACUGUCCUUGUUCAUUCCUGGGCAUAGGCUGAGCUAACUUUGGGAGAAACUUAUUUAUAGUUUAUAGUUUAAAACUAAGAUGAUGAGGUGGGGGGCAGCCCCCGCCCGGCCAGCCCCCCCGUCCGGGAGGUGGGGGGCAGCCCCCGACAGGCCAGCCGCUCCGUCCGGGAGGUGGGGGGCAGCCCCCACCCGGCCAGCCACCCCCUGCGGGAGGUGGGGGGCAGCCCCCGCCCGGCCGCUGCCCUGUCCCGGAGGUGGGGGGCGCCUCUGCCUGGCUGCCCCAUCUGGGAAGUGGGGAGCCCCUCUGCCCGGCCGCCACCCAAUCUGGGAGGUGUACCCAGCAGCUCAUUGAGAAUGGGCCAUGAUGACGAUGGCAGUUUUGUCGAGUAGAAAGGGGGGAAAUGUGGGGAGAAGACAGAGAGAUCGGAUUCUUGUUGUGUCUGUGUGGAAAGAGGUGGAAAUGGGAGACUCCAUUUUGUUCUGUACUAAGAAAAAUUCUUCUGCCUUGGGAUGCUGUUAAUCUAUAACCUUACCCCCAACCCCGUGCCCUCUGAAACAUGUGCUGUGUCCACUAAGGGUUAAAUGGAUUAAGGGCGGUACAAGAUGUGCUUUGUUAAACAGAUGCUUGAAGGCAGCAUACUCCUUAAGAGUCGUCACUACUCCCUAAUCUCAAGUACCCAGGGACGCAAACACUGCGGAAGGCGGCAGGGCCCUCUGCCUAGGAAAACCAGAGACCUUUGUUCACAUGUUUAUCUGCUGACCUUCCCUCCACUAUUGUCCUAUGACCCUGCCAAAUCCCUCUCUCCGAGAAACACCCAAGAAUGAUCAAUAAAUACUAAAAAAAUUAAAAAACAAAAACAAAAAAAACUAAGAUGAUAACAGCCCUUUCCCAAAGCAGGCCUCCUUCUUGCCUGGGGACUAGAUUGCCUCUGUAGGACUAACAUUAGCUACAAGAUUAGAAAUUAUGGCUAAAGGGCAUUGCAGCUUGAGACUACAAGAUUCUUACCCUCCCUAAACUGCUCCUAAGAUCAGUGCUUGAGAUAUUUUGCAGACUCUGCAAAUUUUAGUGCCUUAAUCAAUUAAACUCCAAUUAUAUAUUUAAAAUAUUGAUUAUUUUGAAUGUGUUUUAAAUGCUUAUGUAACAGCAAAAUAUCACAUAUAGAGUGAUUACAAGCUAGUUGUCAUAUUUACCUUUAUGUCUAUUCUAAAAUAAUAAUAAUAAUGCAAGGUAAAAUCAUUUCAUUGUUAUUCUAUACUAGUUUUUAUAUCUAACUAGAUAUAUAAUUUGAUAUAUUCUUAAGGUUGUAUAAUACAUAUUUUAUCACAUUUUCCAGUUUACAACAAUCUUAGAGAAAAUAAAGAGAAAGAAAAAAAUUUGAAAGGCAUAAUGGAAAAUAUCAGAAUAUUUUAUGUUAAAAUCAACAAUACAGCACACAUAACUUGAUGGAACCAUUUGAGAUCCUGAAAAUAAAAAUACCUUUAAAGUACUUCAAAAAAGAAAAUAUGCUUAUAAACUUUAAAUAGAAAAACUAUAUUAUAAAAAACAGCAGAGAAUAUUUCUGCAAGAUAUUAAAUUAAUUAUAUAAAUACUACAUUUUUAAAAGAGUUCUGUAAUUGGCCCAUGAGAAGAGAGUUCAAUGGGGCAGAGUUUGGAAAUGCAAAUCCUUAGGGGAAUUUGGUUUAUGACAAAAAUAACAUCUCGGAUAUCUGAAGAAAGAUGGAUUACUUAAUAAAUAAAAAAACAACUAGGUAUUUUUUGAAAAAAUAAUGUCAGAUUUUAAUCUCAAUUAUUAUAUAAGAAAUCAUUUUGCAUGGGUUAGUUUCAAAAUUUAAAAUAAAUGAAAGAGUCAUUGUUAUAAUCUUGAAAUGUGGUCUGGAAAACUCUUACUAAGAAAACGUAGGACUUGGACACUGUGAAAAGAAGAAACUGUUGAAUUGUACAACAUAAAAAUAAGUCACUAAAUUGAAUUUCAAACUGGUCAAGAAUGUAUAGAAAAGGUAUAACAGAUCAAACACUAAUUCAUUAUAUUCAAAUUUUGGUUCAUUAAAAUUAAAAAUGUCUGCUCUGCAAAAGCUUUUGUUAAGAGAAAAAAAAGACAAGCCACAGACUAAAAAAAAAUUGCAAAAGAUAGCUGAUGAAGGAUUCUAUGCAGAAUAUACAAAUUAACAGUGUAAAAACAAACCGCACAAUUAAAAAUAGACAAAAUAUCUGAACAGAUACUUUAUUAAAGAAGAUAGAUGACAAAUAAAGAUGUUAAAAUGCUCAAAAUCAUAUAUCAUUUAGGAAUUGCAAAUUCAAACAAUGAGAUACUACCCUAAACCUAUUAUAAGUAUGGCUGAAAUCAAAAAUACAAACAAGGACGUGAAGAACAGGAACUCUCAUUCAUUGCUGGUGGGAGUGCAAAAUGGUAUAGGAACUUUGGAAGACAGUUUGACAUUCUUGCAAAGCUGAAUAUAAGCUUACUAUAUAAUCUAGAAAUUGUGCUUCUAAGUAUAACCCAAAUUAGUUGAAAACUUGAUACAAAUGCUUAAAGAGUCUUUUCUAAUACUUGUUAAAAUUGGAAGCAGUCAAGAUGUGCUUCAGUAAGUGAAUGAAUAAACAAACUAUGAUAAGUCCAUACAAUGAACUAUUACUCAGUGAUAGAAAGAAAUGAGUUAUGAAGCCAUUAAAAGACAUGUAGGAAGAUUAAAUACAUAUUACUAAGUGAAAUAAGUCAGUUUGAAAAGGGCACAGACUGUAUGAAUCCAACCGUAUGAAAUUCUGAGUCAGACCUAUAGAGACAGUAAAAAGAGCAGUAAUUGGCCAGGCUUCAGGGGAAGGGAGGGAUGAACAGGUGAAGCACAGGACAUUUUUAUGAUGGUGAAAUUAUAUCCUAUGAUACUAUAACAGUGGAUACAUAGCAUAAUACAUUUAUAUAAUGAAUUUGAGAAUUUCAGAGGCUUAUCAAGGAAAAAGAUAAGCCCACAGGUGGCAGUAGCACACAAAGCUUCUACUUGGACGCUACUUGGACAGGGUUGCAAAAAGAACAGUCCUCACAGCAUAAGGCCUUAUAGAAGCACAGGGGACCACCAUCCAGAACGCAGGAGGACAAAGGAGCUCCCAAGGAUGGGAAGGGAGAUGCUGCAUGUCUAGAUAACAUCACUUCACAGCAUGGUAGGAAGCUGCUGGGUCAGAGGGCUCUGAAGGGCAGCAGCCUGCAGUUUAUGUAACUACAAGAUUUUUCUUAUCUAUGGCCGGCAGAUGUUGGGUGCAGUUUCCCAAGGUGUACAAAGCAGGAAGACAUAAAAUGGCAAAAAAAAUCUGCCUGUUGGAGAUAUAUUUACAACAACUGGAUGCGAAAACAUUUCAGUUUGGCACUGUGGGCUUUUGAGCUAAUGAGUCUCAGCCUGAUUUAAGAAGUAAGCAACAAAGGGCCAAUAUGCAAAGGCCAUCUCUGGCUCAUUUAUAUAACAAUUUGUUAAAUCCUAGAGAAUGGUACAACACAGAGUGUCUAAUGUAAACUUGGACUUUUGUUAAUAAUAAUCUAUCAAUAUUGGUUCAUUAAUUUCAAUAAAUGUAUCACACAAAUGCAAGAGGUUAUCAAAAGGGGAAACUCUGUGGGAGGGGGGCAGGUAGGGAAGAGGGAGUGGGGCUAUGUGGGAACUUUAUAUACCUUCUGCACAAUUUUUCUGUGAACCUAAAACUUCUAUAGAAAAUAAAGUCUAUAAAAAUGUUAAAAGUCAAUGAGGAGAAAAAGGAGAGCGAAAUAAAUGGAAACUUGGGGGAAAUUUUGUAAUUCACAAAAUAAAAUCAAAAGUCAAAACCAAAUAAUUCUGCACAUCCAAAAUAUAACUAACAAGUCCAUUGAAUUAUAAACUGGUCAGAAACACAUGCAACAGUUAUAACAGAUCAAAAAGAGAUUUGUGCAAGUUUAAUGCAAAGGAAAUGUGGAGUAAGGCAUUAAGUAGGCAGUUUAGAGAAAAUGAAUACAAUUUUUUGAGAGGAAAGAAGGCCACCCUAACUCAAUAAACAAGUAAAAUAUUAUCACUGUGAGUUUCUAUUUUUCAUCUGUAAAUUUGGAAAAUACAAAAAACCCUGAAACCUGUAACACCCACCUGACAAACUCACAUAUGCUGUUGGUGGACAUGUACACUGGUAACUAUUUCAGAAUAUUUUUGAUAUCGUAAUAAAAACAGCACAUAGCCUUUGACAAAAUAGUUCUAUUCAUAGAAAUAUUUCCUACAUUCUUACUUACAGAUAUGCUCAAAACAUAUGUACAAGGGUGUUUGUGGCAGCUUUCGUUUUAUUAGCCAAAGACUGGACACUACCCAACUACACAUUGGUAAGAUUUGUACCAUGUAACAAGUAGCUUUUGCCAGAAAUUUUAAAUCUUGUAUGCCACUUAUUGGUUCAGGAUUUUAAUGUAUAUGUCUCUAAAUAAACUAUAUUUAUGUCUGCUUUGCAUUGAUCCCCUUCCACUGCAAAUUUUCAUCACCUAUCGAGGUCCCACCAGCCUAUUGUGUCUUUGCUUAUCUUACUGUACAGAUAACUCACAUGGAUUCCAAUAUGGACCACAAUUUGGACAGCUUCUUCAUUGUAUAAGAUAUAAGUAAAUCAUGUCACCUCAAUACAAAUAUUGAGUUCUUGAGGGCAAAUGUUAGGUCUUCUUCAUUUGUUGUUGUUUUUUUUUUUCUCCCUGGAACCUAAUACAUGAUAAAGACUUGCUGAUUAGAAGUAAUUUUUCCUAACCAUAAGACAGUUCUUAUAGUACAUAUCCUCAUUACAUAACUAUGUAUUAAACCUAAGGAAAAUGCUCAAGAGUUUGUCCCUUUUGUUUGGUCCUUGCUUUUUCUGGCACACUUCAUAUUGCCAAGGCCCGUAAGGGUAAGAGAGAGAGUCAUACCUGAACUUGAUAUUGUCAUCUGGAGGAGAUUCAUAACAACAAAGUAUCUGGAGAAAGAUAGCCCUGUAGUUUCCAUUAUACCUGUGAUAAGAAAUUAGGCAGGUUCAGUGAGAACAGGAUUAAUAUGUCACAGAAAUCACAUAUCUCCACAUCUUCCUGCAGUAAUUAACUCUCAAAUAGAGUUACCAGAUGAAACGUAGAACCCCCAGUUAGAUUUGAAUUUCAGAUCGGCAGUGCAAGUUUUUUGGUAUAAAUAUUUCUUGUGCAUCAUAUAAUUUUUAUUUUCUAAAUCUGGUAACUCUACUUUUAAGAUGUUCAAUAUAAUGACCAAGUCCAGCCAGAGGCUUCUUUCUCAUUAAAGGAUUUCUU